GCAGCAGGGAGAACAGGAAGGGGAGGACGAAGGCAGGAGGGUGAGAUGGAGCAGGAGAGGGAGGAGACUGCGCCCCCUUGCCGGCACCUCUGCCAAAGCCGCUGCCUCACAGCGGGAAUGAGUCAGGCCUGGAACGCCAAGUGGGAGCCUUGGAAGGUUCUGGGAGCCACUGUUCACCUGGGCAGCGACUGAUGAGUGCCUCGCUUUUUGCCACCUGAGCCUACUGUGUUGUCACCACCAUCACAACAGUCACUACGGUGAACCAUCAGAUGCCCAGUGUUUCCGGGUUCCUGACUGGGCCACGCCUACCGCUAUACCCUCCUGCCGAGCCAGCCCCCGCCUUGGAGAGCACAGUGACCACCUCCAGGCAGGCACGAGAGACUCCCAGAAAACUUCCUGCACACUCAUCCUUGCCUCUGGUGGGUCAGCUUCCAGGGAGCUCACUGGCAGACACCUACUAGGGUCUCAGGAAGAUCACAGAAGGAUUGGCCCGCUUGCCUGGAUUCAGGCCACCUGACAGCAGCCCCCAGAGCCCAGCGACUCCCUGUCUGCAGUGGAAUUCACCCGGGGAACUGCCUAGGCUGCCUGCCUCCUCCAUCCCCUGCCCUCCUCCACUCCUCUGCCCCAACCCCGCGGCCAGGUUGCCCUGACAAGCGGCCCUGACAAGUGGCGGUGGGUCCUUAGGUGUGGCCCUUCUCCUCUGAGGCCUUCCGGCCCCAUCUGCUCAAUAGAGAGGUGCGAGCGGCUCUGGGGGGAGGUGGCCCAGCCUGAACUUCCUGUGCCUCCUAGGGCCUGACCUCUGCGAC
Long non-coding RNA from Camelus dromedarius (Arabian camel), 806 nucleotides. RefSeq lists it as uncharacterized. The transcript is spliced from 3 exons. The record is from RefSeq and is a predicted model, not a curated record. NCBI's taxonomy places the organism in Eukaryota, Metazoa, Chordata, Mammalia, Artiodactyla, Camelidae.